GCAAGGGCCUCGACGAGGAAUCUCAGGCCAGAAGGGAUGGCGCGACGCAGGCCUCACAGAGGAGCGAUACCUUCAACAUCGAGCAUGAUCUGGAAAGGAUCAUGG
RNAcentral lists this non-coding RNA (105 nucleotides) under Togula jolla. Lineage: Eukaryota; Dinophyceae; Gymnodiniales; Gymnodiniaceae. The record is from RNAcentral.